This is a long non-coding RNA of Pararge aegeria (speckled wood butterfly), 3591 nucleotides long. RefSeq lists it as uncharacterized. The transcript has 2 exons. The record is from RefSeq and is a predicted model, not a curated record. NCBI's taxonomy places the organism in Eukaryota, Metazoa, Arthropoda, Insecta, Lepidoptera, Nymphalidae.
AAAAUGACGGGUCCUGACUAGUUCUCUCACUGAUAGAGUUUUCUCACUUAUCCAGUUUUCACCUACCCAGGUUUGACUGUAUAUUUGAAUAAGAACACCUCUUGUAAAACUUUAACCAGUUCUUAGAUACAAGAUUCCAAAAACACAUCAAAUCAGUCGAAAAUGAAAACCGUGGUCACUAGGUUUCACACUUAAAAGUUUCUUCUCUUCGCUCUCAGAAAAGAUCGCAGGGUAAGAUCCUUUUAUACCACAUUAUCUGAGGCCUAGAAACUUCUUUACUCGAAAAUCGUAAACAAACGAACGAUACAAAAAUAUUUUAAUUAUGACUAUUCUCAGAAUUUCUUUUCUACGUCGUUGUUUUGUAGGUAUACAUUAUGUUGCUUAGUGCCUACAUGUUACGUUGUCGCACGCGUUUUUAAACUUUCUAAGUAAUGAAUCUAAAACUACUAUUCCUAUUUUUUUGUACCACUACUAUUAAUAAGAUUAUUUUGCAAGAGAAUUAAUGAUUGCUUGCUGCACAUACGUCAUGCACAAUAUUUAAGAAUAUAAUAAUUAUAUUUAGGAAUCGUAUCCCAUGACUUGCAUUCUUAUUAAGUAGAUUUAAGUAAGUAAACAGUAAGCCGACGGAUAGAGGCCAUGCCUUACACCACUCUGUGGCAGAUUUAACCUCAAUCCGUUGACCUAUUGACCCGUUGUACAUAUACAUUCAGCUUAAUUGACAAAACAUAAAAUGUGCCUUAAUGUAAAUAAAAAGCCCAAACCAUAAGUAUGAUGAGUUGACAAAUUAUGAUUUAAGUGACGGUUAAACGGAUGUGUAAAUCUCAAUAAAACCAUCGAUAAAACUUAUCUUGUAGCUCGAGAGUUUAGAUAAUCUCUGCCAUAACUAUAAUAUGAUGUAUAUAAAAUUUAAGUAGUAGUAAAGUUUUUUGUGACCGAGCUCGUCCGGUGAAGUUCUCGGUUUGUGGGCUUUCUGUUCGGUCCAUCUUUUAAAAAUACAAAAAAUAAUAAAAAAAAACAAAAAAAAAACUAAUGUUAAGUUAAUUAUAACGAAAUAAUAUAGAAUAUAUAAAUAAUGAGUUCAGGGAUAUUCCUAACCCCCCAAGGAUGUCACAAGCUAGUGAAAUUACUGUCUCUGUAAAUAUAUUAAGCACGUACAACGUAGAAAUAGUUUAGUUUUAAGCGUAAAACUUGUCGAAGACCUACCCUGACUUAAUAUUAUAUGUGUUUUGGUGCAUUUUAUAUUUAAACCUUUCUGCAAACGUUUAUCCGAUUGACCUUGGGGUCUAUUUUAAAUAUAGUUAAAGCAGGACAAUUAAUAGUUGCCUACCUAUCUUAUCUAAUAUAUAAAGCUAAAGAUUUUGUUUGUUGGUCGGUUUGCUUGAACGCGAAUAUCUCAGGACCUACUCGUCCAAAUUGAAAAAUCAUAUCAGUGUUGCUUAGCCCAUUUAUAGAGCAAGGCUAUUGGCUAUAUAUCAUAACGCUAAGAGAAUGUUUCAAAAUCAUUGUUUUUUUUCCCUUUUGAAAGCUUCUGCUGCGUUUACUGCGUUAACAUCUAAAGUUCUGAUACAAUCCUGUGUGACAAAGUUGAUCCCCCUUAAAAGUUCUGAGAAAAGUCCGCGACAGCAUAUGUCUAUCUCUUAGGUUGAGUUAUAGGCAGAAAAAAUUGCAAGGGACCGCUAGUUAGCAUAUAAAAUGACUACAUGUAAAACAUUUUGUGGAAAAAAGAGUUUAAUUGAAUCAAUUGACAAUGAAAUGAUCGCAAUAAAAACGUACUUUUAAUCGAAGAUAGAUUGUACUCACAGUCAAUUGUAAUGAAAUAGAUAAAUAAAUAGGAAAUCUUUCGUUUUCCUGCAAAACCAUGUACCCCGCAGAAUACACUUCACAGUUCAACAUAGAGUAUAUUAUGUUACAGUAGAAACAAAAAUAACUAUAAUAAUAAUGAAGAAAUUUCAUUUGUUAAUUUUAAAUUCUAAAUUAACCAUUUUGCGGUCUGCUCGUACAUAAUGUUAUCCAUAAAUACUAAGUCAGGGUUUGCGAAGACUAGCAUUCUUAAAAGCGUGUACGUAGAAUGAAGUAAGUGAACAGUAAGCCGACGGAUAGAGGCCAUGCCUAAAACCACUCUGUGACAGAUUUGACCUCAAUCCGUUGACCUACUGACCCGUUGUACAUAUACAGCUUAGUUGCUGGAAACAAAAGUAUUUCAAAGAGAAUGCCUUACUGUAAAUAAAAAGUCCAAACCAUAAAAAUGGUGAGUUGGCAAAUUAUUAUUAAGGUGACGUUUAAACGGAUGUAUUAAUAUGGUAAUAAAUCCAUCGAUACCUUAUAACGUAUCUUGUAGUUCAUAAGUUGAUGUAUAUAAAAGUUUUAAAAUUACUAUUUAACUGUAGAAAUAAUGCAAUAAGAGAUAUCUCAAAUUCCUGAGUCUGUCAAAACAAGUUAAAUUACUGCGUCUGUGAAUAUAUUAGGUAUGAUCCUACCGUGUAGAUAGUUAUGUAAUAUUUAAAUAUUACAAACUUGUCUAAGGCAUACCCUGACUUAAUAUUUUGUGUGUUUUGGUACAUUUUAUAUUUUUAACAUCCUGCAAACGUUUUUCCGAUUAGCCUUCGAAUUGUCUAUCUUAAAUGUAGGUAAAGCAGGAUGAUUAAUACUUGCCUACCUAUCUUAUCUAGUAUCUAGUCUGUGACGGCAUUUGUCUAGCUUUUAAGGUUAUAUAUAUAUAUAUAUAUAGUCAUAUAAAAUAGGUUGUUAAAAAAACGUUUAAUUUAAUCAAUUUGACAAUGCAAUAAUUGCAAUAAAAACGUAAAACCUUUAAUCGAUAAUAGAUUGUAGUUAUUACAGGCAAUUGUAAUAAAAAAGAAUAAAAAAUAGGGAAUCUUACGUUUUCCUGCUAAACCAUGUACCCCACAGCAAACAUUGUUAUGGAGCGUACAUUGCCAGUUACAGUAUAACAACACUAAGUAUAUUAAUAAUGAAGAAUGCAAAACGCCCAAAAAUAGCAUUAGACUGACAACGCACGCAACGUUUAUUUUUAAUAGAUUUCGCAUAAUAAUAGAUUUCAUUUGUAAAAUUUAAAUUUUAAAUUAAGCAUUUUUCGGUCUGCUCGUUCAUAAUGUUAUCCAUAAAUACUAAGUCAGGGUUUGCGAAGACUAGCAUUCUUAAUAGCGUGUACGUAGAAUUAAGUAAGUAAACAGUAAGCCGACGGAUAGAGGCCAUGCAUAUACCACUCUGGCAGAUUUGACCUCAAUCCGUUGACCUAUCGAACCGUUGAACAUAUAGCUUAAUUGACAAAACAUAAAACGUUCUUUAAUGUAAAUAAAAAGUCCAAACCAUAAAUAUGAUGAGUUGGCAAAUUAUGAUUUAAGUGACAGUUAAAUGGAUGUGUAAAUAUAACAAUAAAACCAUGUGUAUGGCUUACGUAUCUUAUAGUUCGAUAGUUUAGUCACAUCUUUUGGCGUCUGCCAUAACUAUACAAUGAUGUAUAUCGAAGAUAAGUAGUAGUAGGGCUUUUUAGGACAGAGCUCGUUCGGGGAAGUAUUUGGUAGGUGGGCUUUCUUUUUGGUCCAUUAAUUAAGAAAAGAAAUAAAAAUAAAA